AACGCUGGCGGCGUGCCUAAUACAUGCAAGUCGAGCGAAUGGAUUAAGAGCUUGCUCUUAUGAAGUUAGCGGCGGACGGGUGAGUAACACGUGGGUAACCUGCCCAUAAGACUGGGAUAACUCCGGGAAACCGGGGCUAAUACCGGAUAACAUUUUGAACUGCAUGGUUCGAAAUUGAAAGGCGGCUUCGGCUGUCACUUAUGGAUGGACCCGCGUCGCAUUAGCUAGUUGGUGAGGUAACGGCUCACCAAGGCAACGAUGCGUAGCCGACCUGAGAGGGUGAUCGGCCACACUGGGACUGAGACACGGCCCAGACUCCUACGGGAGGCAGCAGUAGGGAAUCUUCCGCAAUGGACGAAAGUCUGACGGAGCAACGCCGCGUGAGUGAUGAAGGCUUUCGGGUCGUAAAACUCUGUUGUUAGGGAAGAACAAGUGCUAGUUGAAUAAGCUGGCACCUUGACGGUACCUAACCAGAAAGCCACGGCUAACUAC
This 492-nucleotide ribosomal RNA is filed under the name Bacillus cereus. RNAcentral describes it as "bacterial SSU rRNA". It matches the Rfam family "Bacterial small subunit ribosomal RNA", at positions 32 to 504 of the family's 1533-position model. Lineage: Bacteria; Bacillati; Bacillota; Bacilli; Caryophanales; Bacillaceae. The record is from RNAcentral.